RNAcentral lists this ribosomal RNA (486 nucleotides) under uncultured bacterium. RNAcentral describes it as "bacterial SSU rRNA". It matches the Rfam family "Bacterial small subunit ribosomal RNA", at positions 32 to 507 of the family's 1533-position model. The record is from RNAcentral.
AACGCUGGCGGCGUGCCUAACACAUGCAAGUCGAGCGAGUGAAUCUCCUUCGGGAGUGAAGCUAGCGGCGGACGGGUGAGUAACACGUGGGCAACCUGCCUCAUAGAGGGGAAUAGCCUUUCGAAAGGAAGAUUAAUACCGCAUAAGAUUGUAGCUUCGCAUGAAGUAGCAAUUAAAGGAGCAAUCCGCUAUGAGAUGGGCCCGCGGCGCAUUAGCUAGUUGGUGAGGUAACGGCUCACCAAGGCGACGAUGCGUAGCCGACCUGAGAGGGUGAUCGGCCACAUUGGGACUGAGACACGGCCCAGACUCCUACGGGAGGCAGCAGUGGGGAAUAUUGCACAAUGGGGGAAACCCUGAUGCAGCAACGCCGCGUGAGUGAAGAAGGCCUUAGGGUUGUAAAGCUCUGUUCUAUGGGACGAAGUCCUUGACUGUGAAUAAUGGUCAAGGUUGACGGUACCAUAGGAGGAAGCCCCGGCUAACUACGUG